This 2159-nucleotide small RNA is filed under the name Pongo abelii (Sumatran orangutan). RNAcentral describes it as "retained intron". Lineage: Eukaryota; Metazoa; Chordata; Mammalia; Primates; Hominidae. The record is from RNAcentral.
GUGAUGUCACUGCAAGCUCUGUGUGAUCGUAGGUGGUAUUAGAGCUCCAGGAGCGAAAGCAGGGAGAGCAGUGGAAGAGAGACGAUGUCGCUCUCAGACAAGCAGCCAGCCUGUCUCACUGCCGCGUACGGUCAGCUCAGUAAGGGCAAGCCUGCAGAGUGCCGAAUGGACUCCCCAAAAGAAAUCAGUCAAGCCAGAUUCGAGUGGCAGAGGACAGAGGGCAAACUGAAUGAAAUUGGGCUGAAUGUCAGCAUGGACGGGCAACCGAAAGAUGGGCUUGUGAAGAAUGCCAGCUUCCUGGAGCAGAACAAGCUCUGCUUUUUUGAGGGGAAGCUAGACAAAGAGCUCAGCACUGAAGUGCAGGACAAGGACUGUCAAGCAGCCUCAGGUCACCUUGAGAGCAGGUAUGUGAUUUCAGAGACCUGCCAUCCCUUGGAGGGGAACUCGGUACACCAGAAGACCUCCGAGUUCCAUCUGGGACUCAUAGAGGGGCCAGACAAAAACAAAACCGUUCCAGUUCAGGGGAAGGUGGCAGGGAAGAAUGGACUAGAGACCAAGAGCCAGUCAGAUCUGGAUUUCCCUGGGGCUGCUGACAUCCCUACCACAUAUGUUAAGGAGCAGGAAACCAGUGUUUGGAACCCCAACUUUCAUCCAGUGGCUCAAGGCUCUCUGGGCUCAAGGGACACAACUCCGGGAGAGAUGGAGAAUAGCAUCACCCCUGGCUGCCCAGUGAUUGGGGUGGUAAAUGAUAACUCUGAGCAGCUGAAAUGUGAGUCCCCACUCCUGGUGUCUCUAGCCCACCCAGCCCCCAUUAUUGAGCAUUCACCCACCGCCAUUCCGCCAGUCACUAUGGUGUUCACCCAGGAACAUUUGAAUGCAAGCUGUCACAUCAGAGACCAUGAUAAGGAGUUGGAGAAAUUGAGUUCUACCGAGGAGGAGGCUGUGCUCAACCAAGCCCCCCAGCAGAAAAAGGCAGUGCGCAGGGCCCUGUCUGAAUGUUCUCACCUCUCAGUUCCCCCAGCUGUCAACCUUGCAGAUAAGUACCCUGAACUCCCUGCCCGAGAAGAGCCUUCUUCUGGCCUGCUGCCUCCCCCUAGUAGCCCAAUGCCUAGUCCUACGCCUGGGAAACUGGGAGCUCCUGCUAUGAAGCGCUCCAUGACUGUGGGUGAGGAACAGACAGCUAGCUACAAAUUGAGCCCUGGGAAACUGCCCAUCUUGUCUACUAAAGAGAUACCUCCUUUCAUCUGUGAGGAACCAGUGGCCAAGAAGAGAGAAGAAUUGGCUCACUUCAGCAACAGCAGCAGCAACUCUGGGAAGAAGGAACUCGGCACUGCUGGAUUAUAUCUCCAUAGUAAGCUGGAGCAGAUUCCUGAAGGAAGCAGCAAGGGAAAAGGGCAGGAAGAUUUUAGCGAAACUAGAAUUGAUACAUGCUCGCAGGUUUGCCAGCGAGGAGAGAAACAGCCAGGACAGACGGCCCUGGCAGGGAAGAAAGAAAUUGAGGUCACUGCAACCCAGAGCACUCCAUCGUUCCUGUGUGAAAAGCCCCCACGUGAUGGAAUAGCCAGGCCAGAAGAAGGAAGGCCUGCUGUGAGUGGGACCGGAAAUGAUAUCACCACCCCACCAAACAAGGAGCUCCCACCAAGCCCAGAGAAGAAAACAAAGGUAGGUGCCAAAAUGGUGGUUAUCUUCUAGUGCCAUAAUUUUUAAACGGAGUAUCUUCUGCUGUUAUUGCUUGAAUCACGAAUGAAAUUUCUUUUUUCUGAGCUAUUAUUGUCCUUCCUCAUGUUUGGACAUGCUUAGAAAAUAUCUUGUAUUCUCAUUUACCACAGUGGCCUAAACCAACUUUAAAAUCUCAGCCUUUGACCCUAUUAUCUUAUGUAUCUGUAAAAAAUGUUCUGUAGAGGCCGGGCAUGGUGGCUCAUGCCUGUAAUCCCAGCACUUUGGGAGGCCGAGGCGGGCGGAUCACAUCAGGAGAUGGAGACCACCCUGACCAACAUGGUGAAAUCCCAUCUCUACUAAAAAUACUAAAAUUAGCUGGGCAUGGUGAUGCAUGCCUGUAAUCCCAGCUACUCAAGAGGCUGAGGCAGGAGGAUCGCUUGAACCAAGGAGUUGGAGGUUGCGGUGAGCUGAGAUCAUGCCAUUGCACUGCGCUCCAUCUC